UAAAAUUUUUUUUAAAUUAGUAAUUAGAAAUCUAUGAUGAAUCAUGCAACCACCAAGAUCUAUGAAUGCCAUGAUUUUGACGUAUUUGCUAUCUGAAGUACAUUUUAAGAUAAUUAAAAUAUUAAUUUUCUUCCUAUUUUCAUUAACAAAAGUUUAUUAUUUUUACAGAUCAAUUAAUAAAAAAAUUAUCCAACGCCAUUGUCAAUUCUUCUUUUAUAAAAAUCCAAUGAACUAAAAUUUUUAAAAGAUUUCUGCAUCAUUAAUCAUCUAUUCAGGUCCAAUGGGCGUGAAGAGACAAAGAACAUAGCCACUCUAUUGUUUGAUCUUUCUAAUCAGAUAAAAAAAUCCAGAUCCAGCAGCUCAUCAAUUCCUCAGCAUGAUGAAAUGAUAUCAAAUAAAUCUACAAAUGUAUGAUUAAAAAAAAUAAAGUGAAUUUUUUUAUCCAAGAUAA
Chelonus insularis is the source of this 451-nucleotide long non-coding RNA. RefSeq lists it as uncharacterized. The transcript has 3 exons. Lineage: Eukaryota; Metazoa; Arthropoda; Insecta; Hymenoptera; Braconidae. The record is from RefSeq and is a predicted model, not a curated record.